CUGUUCUGGCGUCGCCUUCCACCUCUGUGUCGUUUGCCUCGGUUGCAUCGGUGAGUACAUGGGCGGCCCCGUCGGCUCCGCCGCCGAUUAGAGCCAUCUUUGUCUUCCCUUUCUGGGUAAGUUUUGGUUCCUAUCCUUUUCCUCUUUGAUGAGUUCUAAGAUUUAUCGCUGUUUCUCUCGCCGCGCCGCGCGCCUCGCUUUCUUCCAUCGGCUCCGUGGUAUUCAUUGUUGCUUUGAUUAGUUCGUCCUUUCUCCCUUUUGGUUCCUACAUUUGUUUCCUUCCUUUUCUGCCGGUGUUGCCGGAUAUGCCCAUUAUCUUUUGCUGCCUUUGAUUGUUGCUGCCCUGUGGGCCUUGGCGCCGCCGUUCCCCCGCGUCCUCCUACCUAUCGUAGCUGGGGGUUCCUCAAGGACCUCCUCCAUCAGAUUGAAUCUGAUAGCUGCGAGCGCGUGCGCGCCUCCGCCGCCGGUGCCCAAGAGGAGGCCUUCUCCGGCAGCGUCGCCGCACCGUGGCGCGUCGAUGUCCUUCGUGCCCGCGCCCCUGUACGGGUCCGAGCGCGGCGGCGCCGCCAGGGCGGGGGGCGCCGAGUUCCGCGGCGCGCACGCACCUGCGCGGGGCCUGCCGCGGCAGCGGCGCCAUCCCGGGGGCGCCGAGGUCGUCGGCAGCCACGCGGCUCUCUGAGGCCCGCCGUGCCGGACCCGACGAGUCCUUUGAUCUUUCUUUCUAUGGCCUCUGCUGUUAGUAUUUCUUUGCCUUUCAAAAGUUUAAUCAGAAUGUUGUACCUCUUCUGAAAACUGUAUUGCCUUUAUUUAGAUGCCGUUGUGUGCACUUCUAAUAUUCUAUUUUGUUACUUUGCGUAAAGCUGUUGCUAUUGCCGUUUAUUAUAUGUACUUGCUUUUUUCCCCCACAGAAUAUUUAUCUGACAUAAUACUUGCUAUGCACUUUGCUUUAUAGCACAGGAUGGAGUAUUCACUCUUGAAAGACGUCACUUCUGAGUCGCAACAUUGGACUGUAAGGGCACGAGUUGUCAGGUUUGCAGAGUAUCUAAGCAAUGACAGCCCCCCUAAGAUUCUUAGGCUUGAUCUAAUACUUGUCGAUAAAGAGGGAAAAGCUAUGGAAGGUCAGAUUCCAGAGAAUUGGAUACCAUUAUUUAAACCACAGCUAAAGGAAGAAUUUGUUUACUAUAUCAAGUUCUUCCAAGUUCGCAAUGCCCGUGCAACAUACUGCCCUGUUGAUCAUCCAUACAUGCUGAGGUUCACUGCUCAUACUAAAGUACAUGAGGUCAAGAAUGUCCAAGACACCUUCCCAAAAUAUGCGUGCGCACCAGCAACAUAUGACGUGCUUCGAAGCAGAGUAGGCAUUACAAAGUACUGCUCAGAUGCUAUUGGAGUAUUGACAUGAUGUUCACAAGUCAAGCUACAACAAACAAAAGGAGGAACUAAGAGCCUACGGAAUGUAUAUCUCACUGAUGGCAGAGGAACAACUGUUGUUUCUUUAUGGAAUCAACAUGCAAGCAGCUUCGACGCUGACCAUUACAUGGAAAUGGCAGGUCGUGGUCCAGUUGUGCUCCUUUUUGUUGGCAUGACAUGUCGCAUAUUCGAAGAAAAACUUACACUUCAAGGAUCCUCAUUAUGCAAAUGGUAUGCCAAUCCAGAACUACCUGAGACUGCUGCCCUCCAAGAUAGUUGUGCUGCCCGACUUCCUCCACCUACAUGGUUUGGCCCAUCUACAGCACAAAAGGAACCAGAGACAAUCACACUAACGAAACUCUCCCAGUUCACAAAUCCUCAUGUCAUUUACGUAUCGUCUCUCUAUUAUUGCCACUGACCCUGUUCCGCCACCAGAGCAGCAAAGUGAAAGAACAAUCCAACUUGUGUUACGUUAUUUGGAUCUAUAGCAGAGGAAAUAAUCGGCACUCCAGUGGAUACUCUUAUUGCUGCUAAUGAAGGCAUGGGAAUCUUGGUCCCAACAAAAAUCACUGCUCUUUAUGGAAAGUAGUAUGAUCUCCGUGUAAGUGUCUCCUCAAUGUCACUACAGCAGGUCAACAUCACCUAUCAAGAUGAUGCCAUCAUAGGGGCUGCCAGCAUUUCCACAUCUACACCACCUCCAUUGCACCUUCCAUCCGAAGGACAAUCUCCCCAUCAAUCAGCAGGCAAAAAACAAGGACUUCACUCCACUGAAAAUCCCACUCUUAUCACAGCACCAAGUGAUUCUGGGUUUGCUCCAUCUGAAUGCAGCAAGGGCACAAGCUUGGCAUUACAUGAUAUAGGUGCAUCGGGUUCAUCAAAUCCUGAUACCCAAGUUCUUCCAGGAACCAAGGCUCCUCAAUCACCUGAAAGCAGCCUCCCCUCAACUUCGGCAUCACUUGCAGACCUAGAAAAAGCCCAGGUUCAUGAGCCAAAGACCAAAAGGACCAAGCGUUCAGAUGAUAACCAAUCUGAUAGCACCAGAAAAAUGAUCCAGAGUAUGUUAACU
RNA transcript from Panicum virgatum (switchgrass), 2473 nucleotides. RefSeq lists it as uncharacterized. The transcript has 11 exons. Lineage: Eukaryota; Viridiplantae; Streptophyta; Magnoliopsida; Poales; Poaceae. The record is from RefSeq and is a predicted model, not a curated record.